GCGAAAGUAUGCAAGGGCAUACGGUGGAUGCCUAGGCUCUCACAGGCGAUGAAGGACGUGACAAGCUGCGAUAAGCCACGGUAAGGUGCAAAUGACCUUUGACCCGUGGAUUUCCGAAUGGGACAACCCACCGCGUUGAAGAUGCGGUAUCCGUUAAUACGGAGGCAAACCCGGGGAACUGAAACAUCUUAUUACCCGGAGGAAAAGAAAACAAGAGUGAUACCCCUAGUAGUGGCGAGCGAACGGGGUUCAGCCCAAACCAUAUCGGUUCCGGCCGAUAUGGGGUUGUAGGGCCGCGAUAUUGUACGUGCGAUGCGAGUGUGACGUUCUGGAAAGUUCGGCCAUAGCGGGUGAUAGCCCCCUUCACGAAGCAUCAAUCGGCAUAGCGUACCCCUGAGUAGCGCGGGACACGUGUAAUCCUGUGUGAAUCCGCCGGGUCCAUCCGGCAAGGCUAAAUACUCGUGAGAGACCGAUAGUGAACCAGUACCGUGAGGGAAAGGUGAAAAGCACCUCUAGCAGAGGAGUGAAAUAGUUCCUGAAACCGUAUGCCUACAAGCGGUCGGAGCUUCUAUAUGGAGUGACGGCGUGCCUUUUGCAUAAUGAACCUACGAGUUGCCGUCUGUGGCGAGGUUAAGGGCGAUGACGCCCGUAUCCGUAGCGAAAGCGAGUCUGAAUAGGGCUAUAGUCACAGGAGGCAGACGCGAAACCGGGUGAUCUACGCAUGGCCAGGAUGAAGUCCCGGUAACACGGGAUGGAGGUCCGAACGAAUAAGCGUUGAAAAGCUUCUCGAUGAGCUGUGCGUAGGAGUGAAAGGCCAAUCAAACCCGGAGAUAGCUCGUACUCCCCGAAAGGCAUUUAGGUGCCGCCUCUGUUGUUUCCCUUAUGAGGUAGAGCGACUGAUUGGAUGCGAGGGCUUCACCGCCUAUCAAGUCCAGACAAACUCCGAAUGCGUAAGGGUUAAGACAGGGAGUAAGGGCGUGGGUGCUAAGGUCCACGCCCGAGAGGAGAAGAAUCCAGACCAUCGGCUAAGGUCCCGAAAUUGUCGCUAAGUUAGUCUAACGUAGUCCGGCCCCCCAGACAGCCAGGAUGUUGGCUUGGAAGCAGCCAUUCAUUCAAAGAGUGCGUAACAGCUCACUGGUCAAGGAGCUGGGCGUGGAUAAUAAUCGGGUAUGAAGCGACGUACCGAAGCCAUGGGAUGCUUUAAGCAUCGGUAGGGGAGCAUUCCUGUCUGCGUAGAAUGCAUGUUGUGAAUCAUGCUGGAGCGUCAGGAAAAGCAAAUGUAGGUAUAAGUAACGAUAAAGGGGGUAAGAUGCCCCCUCGCCGCAAGGCCAAGGUUUCCGGGGCGACGUUAAUCGUCCCCGGGUCAGUCGGGUCCUAAGUCUAAGGCGAACGCCGAUGGCGAUGGCAAGGCGGUUAAUAUUCCGCCACUCGUAUAUCGCGUGAUGUGGUGACGCAGGAGUGACACUGCCGCCCUCUGACGGAAUAGAGGGUAUAAGUACAAAGACGUCGAUGACAGCAGGCAAAUCCACUGUCAGAGUUGAAGUGCGAAAGUACGGUGCUCCCUUCGGGGAAAUCCGAUAGUGCAGGUAAUCAAGCUGCCAAGAAAAUCCGCUAAACAGCAACGAUAUACGACCCGUACCGUAAACGGACACACGUGGCCGGGUUGAAUAUACUCAGGCGCUCGGGAGACUCACGGUUAAGGAAUUAGGCAAAUUGACCCCGUACCUUCGGAAUAAGGGGUCCUCGCUUUGCGAGGCGCAGAGAAUUGGUCCAGGCAACUGUUUACCAAAAACACAGGGCUGUGCAAACUCUAACGAUGAAGUAUACAGCCUGACACCUGCCCGGUGCCGGAAGGUUAAGAGGAGGGCUCAGAGGUAACUCGAAGGUCUGAAUUGAAGCCCCGGUAAACGGCGGCCGUAACUAUAACGGUCCUAAGGUAGCGAAAUUCCUUGUCGGGUAAGUUC
RNAcentral lists this ribosomal RNA (1964 nucleotides) under Bacteroidaceae bacterium. RNAcentral's name for it is "partial 23S ribosomal RNA". It matches the Rfam family "Bacterial large subunit ribosomal RNA", at positions 1 to 1983 of the family's 2925-position model. The record is from RNAcentral. Lineage: Bacteria; Pseudomonadati; Bacteroidota; Bacteroidia; Bacteroidales; Bacteroidaceae.